RNAcentral lists this unclassified non-coding RNA (1100 nucleotides) under Hevea brasiliensis (rubber tree). Lineage: Eukaryota; Viridiplantae; Streptophyta; Magnoliopsida; Malpighiales; Euphorbiaceae. The record is from RNAcentral.
CACUCUUCUCUCUUCGUUCGACAAAUCACUCACUCUCUCUCUCUUUCUCUACACCGACACUCCUUACAAUUCAUAAUUUUAUCAACUCAUCAUUCUUAGGGUUUGUGAACGAACGAUUGAGUCGAAUUGAUACUUGAAUUUCACUGUUUCAAAUCAGAAGUUAGAUCUUAAUCUGUGAGGAUUCAAAAGUAAAGUGAAGCAAAUAUGGAUGCUGAUUCAUGGAGUGCUCGUCUAUCUUCUGCUUCCAGGCGCUAUCAAUCUGCUUUUCAGUCUCGAUCUGGAAUGAAAUGGGAGAAUCUUGAGGCGGAAAUGUUGAUGGGUUUUGAGGAACUAGACGUGGAUGAUGAUAUAAGAGAAGAGUUCCCUUGCUGCUUUUGUUCAGAGUAUUUUGAUAUUGUUGGUUUAUGUUGCCAUAUUGAUGAUGAGCAUCCUGUUGAGGCUAAGAAUGGGGUUUGUCCGGUUUGCGCUAUGAGGGUGGGCGUUGACAUGGUUGCACAUAUUACCUUACAACAUGGGAAUAUCUUCAAAAUGCAGCGCAAGAGGAAAUCUCGCAGACCUGGUUCUCAUUCAACACUUUCCUUAUUAAGGAAGGAACUACGUGAAGGAAAUUUGCAGUCUCUAUUUGGAGGGUCUUCAUGUGUAGUUCCCUCAACUAGUACUGCGCCAGACCCCUUGUUGUCAUCAUUCAUUUUGCCAAUGGGUGAUGAUUUCAAGAGUGCUCAAACAUGUUCUCCUGCUGAAACAAUCUCAGCCAAGAAAAGCUCAGUAGUAACUGCCUCAGAAAGGAAAGUUCAAGAGGCCCCAUUGUCAAUCAAGGAUCAAGAGGAGAAGGCAAAGAGGAGUUCGUUUGUUCAAGGAUUGCUAUUGUCUACCAUUCUGGAUGAUAAUUUAUAGAGGUUGACAUGAAUGCUACCAGUUCACUGAUGAAUCCGUGUGGUUAGUGAUCCAGCACAGUGUGCAUGCUGGCACAAUUGUAAUCCAACCGUGGAAUAAGAUGUAGUAAUCCAUGUAAUCUAUCUUGUUGUUUGUAGAAUUUAGUUUUUAGGCGACAGACUCUUCAUGUAUCUUCUUUUAUUGCAGCUCAUGCUACUACCGUAAAG